Molecule: ribosomal RNA, 1343 nt
Filed under: uncultured bacterium
Lineage: Bacteria
Description: 16S ribosomal RNA
Rfam family: Bacterial small subunit ribosomal RNA
Source: RNAcentral
GACGAACGCUGGCGGCGUGCUUAACACAUGCAAGUCGAACGGAAAGGCCCUGCUUUUGUGGGGUGCUCGAGUGGCGAACGGGUGAGUAACACGUGAGUAACCUGCCCUUGACUUUGGGAUAACUUCAGGAAACUGGGGCUAAUACCGGAUAGGAGCUCCUGCUGCAUGGUGGGGGUUGGAAAGUUUCGGCGGUUGGGGAUGGACUCGCGGCUUAUCAGCUUGUUGGUGGGGUAGUGGCUUACCAAGGCUUUGACGGGUAGCCGGCCUGAGAGGGUGGCCGGCCACAUUGGGACUGAGAUACGGCCCAGACUCCUACGGGAGGCAGCAGUGGGGAAUAUUGCACAAUGGGCGGAAGCCUGAUGCAGCAACGCCGCGUGCGGGAUGACGGCCUUCGGGUUGUAAACCGCUUUCGCCUGUGACGAAGCGUGAGUGACGGUAAUGGGUAAAGAAGCACCGGCUAACUACGUGCCAGCAGCCGCGGUGAUACGUAGGGUGCGAGCGUUGUCCGGAUUUAUUGGGCGUAAAGGGCUCGUAGGUGGUUGAUCGCGUCGGAAGUGUAAUCUUGGGGCUUAACCCUGAGCGUGCUUUCGAUACGGGUUGACUUGAGGAAGGUAGGGGAGAAUGGAAUUCCUGGUGGAGCGGUGGAAUGCGCAGAUAUCAGGAGGAACACCAGUGGCGAAGGCGGUUCUCUGGGCCUUUCCUGACGCUGAGGAGCGAAAGCGUGGGGAGCGAACAGGCUUAGAUACCCUGGUAGUCCACGCCGUAAACGGUGGGUACUAGGUGUGGGGUCCAUUCCACGGGUUCCGUGCCGUAGCUAACGCUUUAAGUACCCCGCCUGGGGAGUACGGCCGCAAGGCUAAAACUCAAAGGAAUUGACGGGGCCCCGCACAAGCGGCGGAGCAUGCGGAUUAAUUCGAUGCAACGCGUAGAACCUUACCUGGGUUUGACAUGGAUCGGGAGCGCUCAGAGAUGGGUGUGCCUCUUUUGGGGUCGGUUCACAGGUGGUGCAUGGCUGUCGUCAGCUCGUGUCGUGAGAUGUUGGGUUAAGUCCCGCAACGAGCGCAACCCUUGUUCACUGUUGCCAGCACGUUAUGGUGGGGACUCAGUGGAGACCGCCGGGGUCAACUCGGAGGAAGGUGGGGAUGACGUCAAGUCAUCAUGCCCCUUAUGUCCAGGGCUUCACGCAUGCUACAAUGGCUGGUACAGAGAGUGGCGAGCCUGUGAGGGUGAGCGAAUCUCGGAAAGCCGGUCUCAGUUCGGAUUGGGGUCUGCAACUCGACCUCAUGAAGUCGGAGUCGCUAGUAAUCGCAGAUCAGCAACGCUGCGGUGAAUACGUUCCCGGG